GAUGAACGCUGGCGGCGUGCCUAAUACAUGCAAGUCGAGCGAACGGACGAGAAGCUUGCUUCUCUGAUGUUAGCGGCGGACGGGUGAGUAACACGUGGAUAACCUACCUAUAAGACUGGGAUAACUUCGGGAAACCGGAGCUAAUACCGGAUAAUAUUUUGAACCGCAUGGUUCAAAAGUGAAAGACGGUCUUGCUGUCACUUAUAGAUGGAUCCGCGCUGCAUUAGCUAGUUGGUAAGGUAACGGCUUACCAAGGCAACGAUGCAUAGCCGACCUGAGAGGGUGAUCGGCCACACUGGAACUGAGACACGGUCCAGACUCCUACGGGAGGCAGCAGUAGGGAAUAUUCCGCAAUGGGCGAAAGCCUGACGGAGCAACGCCGCGUGAGUGAUGAAGGUCUUCGGAUCGUAAAACUCUGUUAUUGGGAAAGAAAAUCUGUGUAAGUAACUGUGCACAUCUUGACGGUACCUAAUCAGAAAGCCACGGCUAACUACGUG
This 497-nucleotide ribosomal RNA is filed under the name uncultured bacterium. RNAcentral describes it as "partial 16S ribosomal RNA". It matches the Rfam family "Bacterial small subunit ribosomal RNA", at positions 28 to 507 of the family's 1533-position model. The record is from RNAcentral.